This is a long non-coding RNA of Lepisosteus oculatus (spotted gar), 695 nucleotides long. RefSeq lists it as uncharacterized. NCBI's taxonomy places the organism in Eukaryota, Metazoa, Chordata, Actinopteri, Semionotiformes, Lepisosteidae. The record is from RefSeq and is a predicted model, not a curated record.
GCGACCUCCCAGACCCACCUGCUCAGGCCUGAGGGCUUCUGUUCAGAAAUAUGGACAAUAAGGUCCACAGCCACUGGAAUCACCAGCUCCUUCCUGCCUGGAAACAGGACCGUACUGCACCUCCCCAGCCAUGACCAGACUCCGGCUCGUUCCCAGAGCCCAUCCCGGAGGCACAGGGCACAAGGCAGCACUAACCCCUGGAUCGGACAGCAAACCCGGACAACCAAGAGACUCCGAAUAACUGAGCCAGCCUGCCCGUGGAAGGUGUCAGGAAAAUCCGAGCGCUCAGGGAAAAGGCAACUGUGGAGAACAUGCAAACUCCACACAGAGGGUGCCCCGGUCUGGAAUCGAACCCAGGACUCCACAGCAGUGAAGCAGCACUUGAGGUGGAGCAGAGCGUGUGCCCAGAAGAGAAAGACGGACCGUCAGAAUGCCCUACAACAAUGGGAACACGCAGAGAGAGAGACUCACCAUCUCCAUUGACAUCAAUCUUCUCAAACACUCGACAGUUUCAGGUUCCUGGUUCCACCUGCAGCCCUGGUACCUUGAUGAUGUUGAGCAGCUCAUAGCGGUCUAUGCAGCCAUUGCCGUCCGCAUCGUACAGCUUGAAGUACCAGCGCAGCUUCUGCUCCAUCUUGCCCCGCAGCACCAGGCUGAGAGCCGCCACGUACUCCAUGAAGUCAAUAUAGCCGUCC